UUGUAGUAGGAGCUUGGAACUAUAAGCUGGGAAAGCCAUUAAGUGCCCACAGCUCAGUGGGCUAUUCUCCGGGAGCUUCCAUUAAAAUGCAGUCAAAGGAGACAUGGAAUGUGAAGCUUCAGAGAGGAGUUGGAGAGUCCUUUCACGAUUAUCCAAGCCAUUUGCUACUUGGUAUUAAGAAUCUGUGGUUUUGGUUGGCUGUAAUUAACAAGAGACCAGAACCACUAAAGUGAAACAUUUUCUUCGCUGAGACAGCUAAUGCUGAUCAGCUGAGCCUGAGAAUCAGCUGUAAUUACGAAGACAUCAACAUCAUUGAGGCGAAAUCUUCUGGGAAGUGUUUCCUUCACCCAAGGUCAGUACACAGAAGCUGUGUUCCAGAGGGGGAUCCACCAAGGCUGUGCUGUGUGCAGAUAGCUGAACUUGGUAAUACAUAAGAGUUUUCUAGGUGGUGCUGGUCUAGAAAGCAUGAGGAGGUCAUGGUGAGCCACUGGGGCUUCAUACAAUGUGGCUUGCCUGGCAUCCCUGAAAAGAGGCUGGGAGAGGCCACGGGUGAAGGUACACCCUCAGCUGCAAUAGAAUUCCAUCUUUUGAAGAGAUCAUGAAGAGACGCCAAGGCUUGGCACCAUAUGAUGGGAUCAGAGCCCCUGGAGAGAGCCUAGGAGAGGGUAUUGGUAAAGGUGCAGCCCAGUUGCAGAGACUCCAGCAUUUUGGAGAGAUGGUGCCAUGGCUGCAGAGGACGGCCACAGAUGUGGAAUGGAGCCGGCCUGAGCCUACGAGAUAAGUUGUGUGUGCUGUGGGUGGCAGAACCAGAAAAAUGGAGUUUCGAGCCCAGGGAAUUGUGAGUGAGUCCCAGUAGUCAAGCUCUGAACUUUUUAUACUGUUGAACUUUGAUCUGGUUUAGCUUGAUUAUAGCUGUGCCCUGGUUCUUUCAUCUUGCAGUAAGAACAUACUUACCUGCUUAAUAUUUAACAGGCGUCUAUCGUUGAGAGGUUUUGAAAUGUCAAAGAGAUGGAAUUUUAUAGAAACUUUGCAAUUUGGAUAUUUAAAAGAGACAACUUCUAAAGUGAUGGACCGUUUAAAAACAGUGGGAUUCUUAUUUAAAUAAUAAUGUUUUAUAUUGUCACAUUAACAUGACAUCUUGGGGACAACAAAAAAUUUUGUGGCUUAAUAAGUGAUGUGUUGUGUGACAAGCUGAGAAGGACUCCAUUUUUUUCCUUUUUUAUUUUUAUUUUUUAUUACAUAUUUUCUUCAUUUACAUUUCAAAUGCUAUCCCAAAAGUCCCCUAUACCCCCCCACCCCACCCUGCUCCCCAACCCACCCACUCCUGCUUCUUGGCCCUGGCAUUCACCUGUACUGGGGCAUAUAAUCUUCACAAGACCAAGGGCCUCUCCUCCCAAUGAUGGUCAACUAGGUCAUCCUCUGCUACACAUGCAACUAGAGACACAGUUCUGGGGGGUACAAGUUAGUUCAUAUUGUUGUUCCUCCUAUAGGGUUGCAGACCACUUUAGCUCCUUGGGUACUUUCUCUAACUCCUUCAUUAGGGACCCUGUGUUCCAUCCAAUAGAUGACUGUGAGCAUCCACUUCUGUGUUUGCCAGGCACUGGCAUAGCCUCACAAGAGACAGCUAUAUCAGGGUCCUGUCAGCAAAAUCUUUCUGGCAUAUGCAAUAGUGUCUGGGUUUGUUGACUGAUUAUGGGAUGGAUCCCCAGGUGGGGCAAUCUCUAGAUGGUCCUUCCUUUCAUCUCAGCUCUGAAUUUGUCUCUGUAACUCCUUCCAUGGGUAUUUUGUUCCUCAUUCUAAGAAGGAGCGAAGUAUCCACACUUUGGUCUUCCUUCUUCUUGAGUUUCAUGUGUUUUGCAAAUUGUAUCUUGGAUACGUCUUCAAAGACAAGGCCUGAGUACUGAGGCCCUACAGCAGAUGGAAAUGAUCCUCAGGAGAUGCCCACCACAGGAGCUUGUAGUAUAAGUAGCUCUGCAGCAGAGCUCUGGCCUAGCACUGACAUGCCGACGCCCUCUCUCAGUGCCCAGCACUGACCAUGGAAGGGGGGUUAGUGGUGAACCUAGAACCAAAGUUCAAUGACAGAACUAAAUGAGAAUGGGGAAGGGGUUGGCACUGGAGAGCUGGCUGGGUGGCUAAGAGCACUUGCUCUAAGAUGUGUGGACUAAAGGUAAAGUGUUGGACACACUGUGACACACUACAGCUUCCACAGUGAGAGAUUUUUUUUUCUUUUGGGGAGGAAAGUUUGCAAGGUCAGAGAGCUGGUAUGAGGGGUUGGGAAGGUGAGUGGGAAGGUGAGUGGUGCAUGACGUAAAAUUUACAAAGAGCUAAUAAAAAGU
RNAcentral lists this long non-coding RNA (2336 nucleotides) under Mus musculus (house mouse). Its description in RNAcentral is "long non-coding RNA chr18:67098398-67100734". The record is from RNAcentral. Lineage: Eukaryota; Metazoa; Chordata; Mammalia; Rodentia; Muridae.